GUUGAUGUAGCUUAACACAAAGCAAAGCACUGAAAAUGCUUAGAUGGAUUUUUUCAAUCCCAUAAACA
Molecule: transfer RNA, 68 nt
Filed under: Serengetimys pernanus (dwarf multimammate mouse)
Lineage: Eukaryota; Metazoa; Chordata; Mammalia; Rodentia; Muridae
Description: tRNA-Phe
Rfam family: tRNA
About the family: Transfer RNA (tRNA) molecules are approximately 80 nucleotides in length. Their secondary structure includes four short double-helical elements and three loops (D, anti-codon, and T loops).
Source: RNAcentral